CCGCACGGGUGAGUAACACGUAUCCAACCUGCCGUCUACUCUUGGCCAGCCUUCUGAAAGGAAAGAUUAAUCCAGGAUGGCAUCAUGAGUUCACAUGUCCGCAUGAUUAAAGGUAUUUUCCGGUAGACGAUGGGGAUGCGUUCCAUUAGAUAGUAGGCGGGGUAACGGCCCACCUAGUCAACGAUGGAUAGGGGUUCUGAGAGGAAGGUCCCCCACAUUGGAACUGAGACGCGGUCCAA
Molecule: ribosomal RNA, 239 nt
Filed under: uncultured bacterium
Lineage: Bacteria
Description: partial 16S ribosomal RNA
Rfam family: Bacterial small subunit ribosomal RNA
Source: RNAcentral